This is a long non-coding RNA of Pantherophis guttatus, 2225 nucleotides long. RefSeq lists it as uncharacterized. The record is from RefSeq and is a predicted model, not a curated record. NCBI's taxonomy places the organism in Eukaryota, Metazoa, Chordata, Lepidosauria, Squamata, Colubridae.
AGAGCAUGUUAGUGCCCAAUUUGUGUUAUAUGGAAGCAUGUUAGGUGAAAUGUUGAAUGUUGAAUGAAAUGGAACGGGGUAAUUAAAUGCAUGUGAUAAUACAAGAGAUAGACUUGAGAACAAAUGAGAACUGAAUGUUUAUUGAAAAAAAUGAGCAAUCAAUAAAGAGGUACAAUUAGUGCUUGACUUAUGACCACAAUUCAUCCCAAAAUUUCUGUUGGUGAGACAGUUAAGUGAGUUUUGCCCCAUUUUACAACCUUUCUUGCCAUAGUUGUUAGUGACACGGUUGUAAAGUGAAUCUGGCUUCUCCAUUGACUUUGCUUGUCAGAAGCUUGCAAAAGGUGAUAACAUGACCCAGGGAUAUUGCAACCAUCAUAAAUGUGAGCCACUGUCCAAAUUUCGAUCACGUGACCAUGGGGAUAUGGCAACGGUUGUAAGUGUGAAAUAUGAUCAUAAGCCCCUUUUUCUCAGUACCAUUGUAACUUUGAACAAUCACUAAAUGGAUGAUUGUAAAUUGGGGAUUACCUGUAAUAUGUUGAAAUGUGAAGGGAGAAAAAACAAGAAAAUUUCCUUAAAUGGAAUUGAUGAAAUUCUCAAAAUGAGGGAAGUGACAAGUUUAAAGAAAAAUAACCAAGCAUAAAGCAAGUUAUGAAUGUGUUAAAAUGUUUGCAAAAACAGAAAAGUGUGGAGGCAGUGAACCGUAUUGAUAUGAAUUAUUUCCCUUACGUUUCCUUUCCCUUUUGUUAUCUCCCAUUUUUUAAUUUCAAUUUGUUUGCAUCCAGAUCACAUCUUAUUAGUGAAAUGUUUUGAAAUCCAGCUUCUAAUUUGAAUAAAGUAAUAUUCAGUAGGCAUCCAUAUUGUGGGACUUGAUUAGCUGCUAACAAUCUGAUUAGUUUUUCUUUUUUGAAGAUGAAAUGGAACACUUUAAGGAUAUUUUUUCUUGGAAAUACAAAGCAGUGAGAACACCAAAGCUUUCCAAAAAAACAUUGUCGGUAUCCAAAGUAUUAAAAAUGGAAAGGGGUAUCCCUUGUUUUAUACUAAUAGAGGUAUGAAGAACUUAAAUAUUCUAUGAAAACUGAGCGAAGCAAUAGGAAAUGGAAAACUGACUCCACUCCCUACUCCAAAAACAGAGUAGAAGGUGAGUUGCUAGGCAACCUCAUAUGGAACACUGGCCUUUUUCAUGAAGAUAACUACUCUUACCUCUCUGGCUCCCUCGCGGGAGUUAAUUCAAAGGCCAUGUAUUAGAAAGAAGGCUUAGGAUAUGAAAUACUAUUAAAAUAUUGAUAAAAGCUCUAAUAGAGUCUUUCUACUUCACUGGGCAGAGAGUAAAAUCAAGGAAGGAAGGAAGAGAUCCAGUGUUCUCUCAUGGAGGCAGAAUGGCUUAAAAUGCCUUAUCUGAAUCCAACCAACCAGGCGGAAAUGUGGCUAAGAGGCAGGAUAUUAAAAGCUCGAUUGGAAUUGGAAUUAGUGGCAGGUGGCCGAAGAAAAGAACAGGAGCUGAAUGAUAGAGGAACUGAGAAGUCAGCCAUGUUGCAAUUUAGAUCAAUGUGAAAGAUGCAGGAGACAUUGGUAUCUUCGUGGAAAUCUAACCAUUCUUUCUACUUUUAUGAAUUGUAAAGCAAUGUUACUUUUAUCAGAAUAUCAGAAGACCAGAGUUUUAUUAGCAAUAUCAUUGUACAGGUCUGGAAAAUUGUCCCUAUUUUUCUUUCUAAAUAUAGUCCACCCCUUUUUAGUGAUGGUUGGAUUAUUUGCCAUGGGAAUAAGAAGGAUCCCACCUAAUAACUAGACUAUUAGCUUAGACUAUUUUUAUCUGGCAAAUUAUUCUUUGAUAGCUUUAUUGCGCAAUAUACCCUUAAACUCUUCUAUAGGAAGUUUCUGGCAAUUACAAAUUCCAAUCCACUUAAAAAUGCCUAUUGUUUCAGUAAUGAGCAAAAUAUUGUACAGAACUGGUUAUGCCAUAAAUAACUAGAUUUCAGUUCAUUGGCAACUGAAGCAAAAUUAAGUGCCUAAAAUAAGUGUGUAUAGAUGACUGUGGGCACAAAUCUUGUCCUGUAGUGGUUACAGAUAACAUUCUAAAAAAAUGGAGGGAGAGUUUAAAGCUGAAGUAAAAAGUCACUUCUUUUCUUGCAAAAAUCCAUCUCUAUGUAUAGUUUACAUAAAAGGAAGUUUUUAAAAAAGCAAAACCAGAACUAAAUAAAGACUGUUGGUAUACUGUAUAGCAACAA